CUCUCCAGCAAUUACCCCCGGACUGGUUCCCUGUUACCAACCCUGCCUGUCUCUGAUCUACCUGCCUCGGCGAAUCCCCGGAAUCCCCACCUGCCUUCUGCAAAAACUUUACUGAAGUUCUGCAAGCCAAACAAACUUGAAGACUGCUUUAAAAGAAAAACGGCAGAAACAUCAUUACCCAAGCCGUCAACAUGCGGCCCAAGAGAACGGGAGGUUGCAGAGAAAGCACCCAGGGGCCAAGGUAGAGGAAAGGGCAAGAGGACCAAGCCACCAUCUCCACCGUCCUCUUCAUCACAUCAACAUCCUCUUCCAGAGGCCGCCAAGAGUCUCUGUCUCUUCGUUGAACUGUGACUCAUACAUCUCCUUCCCGUGAUAGUGCCAUCAACUCCUCUGUGCAGCCCCAGGAGGCGACAAAGAGGAAGAGGGCCAAGAAGUCAGAUUUAUCCUUGUAUCCUGUUGCCCAUGAGGAGAUGAUGCUGGAGUUCCUCAGGGAGAAUCCUAUCAUCUGGGACUGCAAGAGGAGCGACUACAGGAGGGCAUACAGGAAGGACAAGCUGUGGGAUGACCAGGCCACACUAAUGGGCAGAACCGGGUAGAACUCCACACCCACAACUACAGUCAGACACAGCGGAGGAAAGUAGAGGAGAGCACGUAAAGAAUCCGGUUCUGGGUAGGGGCCAACAGGGGACAGUGCCCCUUUAACACUGAGCCUGGAGCCCCCGCUCGAACAAAGAGUACAAUAAUAAAAAAGUACUGAUGUUAUGCGACGGUCCACGCAGGGGAGCCAGAUAUAAAUGCAAGCGCGUCGGGAGAAAGUGAAGAAAUGAGCAAAAAUUGAAAAAGAUGCUCUGCACUAAAGACUUUUAUCUAAAGUGUCAUGUUAAAACUUUGGCCUUUAUUUAUUUGAUUUGUUUGCUUUGGU
This is a long non-coding RNA of Cottoperca gobio, 922 nucleotides long. RefSeq lists it as uncharacterized. The record is from RefSeq and is a predicted model, not a curated record. The transcript has 3 exons. NCBI's taxonomy places the organism in Eukaryota, Metazoa, Chordata, Actinopteri, Perciformes, Bovichtidae.